UACAGAGGGUGCGAGCGUUGUUCGGGAUUAUUGGGCGUAAAGGGCGCGUAGGCGGUGCGGCGUGUUUGGUGUGAAAUCUCCCGGCUCAACUGGGAGGGGCCAUCGAAAACUGCCGUGCUAGGGUACGGGAGAGGGGAGUGGAAUUCCCGGUGUAGCGGUGAAAUGCGUAGAUAUCGGAAGGAACAUCAGUGGCGAAAGCGACUUCCUGGACCAGUACCGACGUUCAGGCACGAAAGCGUGGGGAGCAAACAGG
RNAcentral lists this ribosomal RNA (253 nucleotides) under uncultured bacterium. RNAcentral describes it as "partial 16S ribosomal RNA". It matches the Rfam family "Bacterial small subunit ribosomal RNA", at positions 524 to 776 of the family's 1533-position model. The record is from RNAcentral.